ACCAGUUGACGAAUCCCAAAUAGGACGAAACGCGCGUCCUGGAU
RNAcentral lists this non-coding RNA (44 nucleotides) under Schistosoma mansoni. The record is from RNAcentral. Lineage: Eukaryota; Metazoa; Platyhelminthes; Trematoda; Strigeidida; Schistosomatidae.